GACGAAGACAGCAAGGCAGAAGUAUCCUCAUUGAAGGACAGAAAAGCGUGCGAUGUUUUCAUCCCUCUUUCAUUCCUGGGCCGUGUUGAGUCACCUUCCCCAAAGGAUGGACAAAAAGGCUUUGUCUAGACCAGCAGGAGGUACAAACUGAACUUUCAAAUCCUGCUACAUUCACAGUAAAAGGCAUGGAUGAACUAGCUGGCCUUUAAGGGCCCUCCGAGUGUAAGGGUCUAUGACUCUGUUG
Molecule: long non-coding RNA, 244 nt
Organism: Lemur catta (Ring-tailed lemur)
Lineage: Eukaryota; Metazoa; Chordata; Mammalia; Primates; Lemuridae
Exons: 3
Source: RefSeq, a predicted model, not a curated record